RNAcentral lists this unclassified non-coding RNA (1592 nucleotides) under Leishmania donovani. RNAcentral describes it as "gene:LdHU3.32.0110(CDS-product:Qa-SNARE_protein)". Lineage: Eukaryota; Euglenozoa; Kinetoplastea; Trypanosomatida; Trypanosomatidae. The record is from RNAcentral.
GGGCUUUUGCGAGAGUCGUUCUUACACCCACACAUUCGUCCGGCCACGACCCCAUCGGCGGAAAGUGUGCUCACUAGGAUAAACGUGUACGGCUUCGCAGCGCUGAGGCGUUCACCACGCCGGACAAAAACAAAGAAAAUUACUGCGGUCUGCACCACUCCUUCUUUCCCUUCCUCAGCAACGAGUGCUUGUCGGGGGCGCUGCCAUUGACGUGGCAGCGGCAGCUGCGUCGCCAUCAUGGUUGUCGAACGCGAUCGGUCAAACGAACUCUAUGACCUCUUUUCUCGGCAGAGGCGGAGUCGACCGCCGCCGAGCAGUGGUGCGGUGGUGUCCACUGGUUUGCACAGCAGUAGCGACGUGCAAACAUUCAACCGCUUUGCCAAAGAGUUCUCCAACAACAUUGCCACCGUCUCUGAGUACAUUAUGCGUUUGACGCAGCUGGCAAACCGUCAGAGCGUCUUCGACGACCAGACGGCUGAGGUCAGUGAGUUGACGCAGAUGGUGAAGAGCUCGCUGCAACGCCUCCACAACGAUGCAGGAACGCUGGAGGAGCUGAAGCGGCGAGCCGUUGAGUCACAAAAAGGGUGCAUUCAGCCCAUGGGCGACGCUCGCGGUAUGUUUGGCAGCUCGUCUUAUCACCUCCGUACGUCUGAGAAGCACAGCGACACCGUUGUUGAGACGCUGCGCAGCCGGCUGGCUCGCACCGGACAGCAGUUCCGCACCACUCUCCAGCAUCAAUCCAAAAGCCUCAAGGAUAAGGCGAACCGGCGUCACAUGUUCACCACAGCGGAUCGGCCGCAAACGUUUGAGAGCGCGCUUUUUCAGGACCAGGAGCAGCAUCAACAGCAGCAACUGCUGCUCUCCGGAACGGGCAGCACGCAGUACUACCAGCAGCGAGCAGACGCCGUGCUGGAGAUCGAGGCAGCUGUGCAGGAAGUUGGUGAACUCUUCAACGAUUUCACGCGCCUUGUUCAGGAGCAGGAGGAGGUUGUGCUUCGUAUUGACACGGAUGUGGACAACGCUGUGCGUCACGUCAACGCCGGAAGCAAUGAACUGAUGCGAUACUUGACGAACCUGAGCUCCAACCGCGGGCUCAUUCUGAAAGUGUUUGCAAUGCUGUUCUUCUUCCUCAUGCUUUUUGGUAUCCUGGUGGUGCGCUAGCUGCCGGGGCGCUGACGAGUAUGUGUGUGUGUCUUCAUUGUCGUCGCACGUAAUGGUAAUGAAGCCGAUGAUGAGAGAGGAGCGCUCAUCUUGUUUGCCAUUGACCGCACAACAGACUUGUUGGCUGGCGUGCCGCAACGAGUGCGUGAGUGGGUGGGUGGUGGAAACGAGCUGCAUUUUCGCAUUCCUUUUUGUAGAAGCCGUUCUGUGCGUCCCAGGAUGGGACUUUUGGAGGGCUCUCAGGGUUUUCGGGUGUGUGUCGCCCUCCUCCUGUCGUCCCCGGGCAUCAGGGCUGAUGCCCGGGAUUCUCGGUCGCAAUCCUCUAGUGUGUGUUCGCAUCCAUUUCUUUUUCCUUCGUUGCCAUGCAUUCAGUGUGCUCGUGGAGGUACUGACUUCAUACUCUGUUCUCUUGUUGGAUGCUGAUGGUUCUC